RNAcentral lists this ribosomal RNA (662 nucleotides) under bacterium MS-AsV-19. Its description in RNAcentral is "bacterial SSU rRNA". It matches the Rfam family "Bacterial small subunit ribosomal RNA", at positions 185 to 837 of the family's 1533-position model. The record is from RNAcentral.
CUCACAUGAGGAAAAGCUGAAAGAUGGUUUCGGCUAUCACUUACAGAUGGGCCCGCGGCGCAUUAGCUAGUUGGUGAGGUAACGGCUCACCAAGGCCACGAUGCGUAGCCGACCUGAGAGGGUGAUCGGCCACACUGGGACUGAGACACGGCCCAGACUCCUACGGGAGGCAGCAGUAGGGAAUCUUCCGCAAUGGACGAAAGUCUGACGGAGCACGCCGCGUGAGUGAUGAAGGCUUCGGAUCGUAAACUCUGUUGUCAGGGAAGAACAAGUACCGGAGUAACUGCCGGUACCUUGACGGUACCUGACCAGAAAGCCACGGCUAACUACGUGCCAGCAGCCGCGGUAAUACGUAGGUGGCAAGCGUUGUCCGGAAUUAUUGGGCGUAAAGCGCGCGCAGGCGGUUCCUUAAGUCUGAUGUGAAAGCCCCCGGCUCAACCGGGGAGGGUCAUUGGAAACUGGGGAACUUGAGUGCAGAAGAGAAGAGUGGAAUUCCACGUGUAGCGGUGAAAUGCGUAGAGAUGUGGAGGAACACCAGUGGCGAAGGCGACUCUUUGGUCUGUAACUGACGCUGAGGCGCGAAAGCGUGGGGAGCAAACAGGAUUAGAUACCUGGUAGUCCACGCCGUAAACGAUGAGUGCUAAGUGUUAGAGGUUUCCGCC